This 515-nucleotide ribosomal RNA is filed under the name uncultured bacterium. RNAcentral's name for it is "bacterial SSU rRNA". It matches the Rfam family "Bacterial small subunit ribosomal RNA", at positions 994 to 1509 of the family's 1533-position model. The record is from RNAcentral.
AACUUUCCAGAGAUGGAUUGGUGCCUUCGGGAACUCUGAGACAGGUGCUGCAUGGCUGUCGUCAGCUCGUGUUGUGAAAUGUUGGGUUAAGUCCCGCAACGAGCGCAACCCUUAUCCUUUGUUGCCAGCGGUUAGGCCGGGAACUCAAAGGAGACUGCCAGUGAUAAACUGGAGGAAGGUGGGGAUGACGUCAAGUCAUCAUGGCCCUUACGAGUAGGGCUACACACGUGCUACAAUGGCGCAUACAAAGAGAAGCGACCUCGCGAGAGCAAGCGGACCUCAUAAAGUGCGUCGUAGUCCGGAUUGGAGUCUGCAACUCGACUCCAUGAAGUCGGAAUCGCUAGUAAUCGUGGAUCAGAAUGCCACGGUGAAUACGUUCCCGGGCCUUGUACACACCGCCCGUCACACCAUGGGAGUGGGUUGCAAAAGAAGUAGGUAGCUUAACCUUCGGGAGGGCGCUUACCACUUUGAGAUUCAUGACUGGGGUGAAGUCGUAACAAGGUAAGCGUAGUGCU